Astyanax mexicanus (Mexican tetra) is the source of this 181-nucleotide long non-coding RNA. RefSeq lists it as uncharacterized. Lineage: Eukaryota; Metazoa; Chordata; Actinopteri; Characiformes; Acestrorhamphidae. The transcript is spliced from 3 exons. The record is from RefSeq and is a predicted model, not a curated record.
UUAGAUAUUUAGAUGUUUAGAUGUUUAGACCUUUAGAUGUUUAGGUGUUUAGAUGUUUAGGUGUUAAGGUGUUUAGAUGUUUAGACCUUUAGAUGUUUAGGUGUUUAGAUGUUUAGAUGUUUAGGUGUUUAGAUGUUUAGGUGUUUAGAUGUUUAGGUGUUUAGGUGUUUAGAUGUUUAGA